CCUACGGGGCGCAGCAGUGGGGAAUAUUGGACAAUGGGCGAAAGCCUGAUCCAGCCAUGCCGCGUGUGUGAAGAAGGCCUUCGGGUUGUAAAGCACUUUCAGUGGGGAAGAAAGCCUUGGGGCUAAUACCCUCGAGGAAGGACAUCACCCACAGAAGAAGCACCGGCUAACUCCGUGCCAGCAGCCGCGGUAAUACGGAGGGUGCGAGCGUUAAUCGGAAUUACUGGGGGUAAAGCGCGCGUAGGCGGUCUGAUAAGCCGGUUGUGAAAGCCCCGGGCUCAACCUGGGAACGGCAUCCGGAACUGUCAGGCUAGAGUGCAGGAGAGGAAGGUAGAAUUCCCGGUGUAGCGGUGAAAUGCGUAGAGAUCGGGAGGAAUACCAGUGGCGAAGGCGGCCUUCUGGACUGACACUGACGCUGAGGUGCGAAAGCGUGGGUAGCAAACAGGAUUAGAUACCCGUGUAGUC
Molecule: ribosomal RNA, 465 nt
Filed under: Vreelandella stevensii
Lineage: Bacteria; Pseudomonadati; Pseudomonadota; Gammaproteobacteria; Oceanospirillales; Halomonadaceae
Description: partial 16S ribosomal RNA
Rfam family: Bacterial small subunit ribosomal RNA
Source: RNAcentral